ACAAGAAUGCCAGAUAAUUAUGGGAUUGAUUUAGGAUCAUUUUAAGACUUUUGUCUUCUUGCG
This 63-nucleotide transfer RNA is filed under the name Hymenolepis microstoma. RNAcentral's name for it is "tRNA-Leu". The record is from RNAcentral. Lineage: Eukaryota; Metazoa; Platyhelminthes; Cestoda; Cyclophyllidea; Hymenolepididae.